UAACGCGNGGAUAACCUGCCUCAUACAGGGGGAUAACAGUUAGAAAUAGGUGCUAAGACCGCAUAAGCGCCCAGGGCCGCNUGGCCCAGGGUGAAAAACUCCGGUGGUAUAAGAUGGGCCCGCGUCUGAUUAGCCAGUUGGCAGGGUAACGGCCUACCAAAGCGACGAUCAGUAGCCGGCCUGAGAGGGUGGACGGCCACAUUGGGACUGAGACACGGCCCAAACUCCUACGGGAGGCAGCAGUGGGGGAUAUUGCACAAUGGGGGAAACCCUGAUGCAGCGACGCCGCGUGAGUGAGGAAGUAUUUCGGUAUGUAAAGCUCUAUCAGCAGGGAAGAAAAUGACGGUACCUGACUAAGAAGCCCCGGCUAACUACGUGCCAGCAGCCGCGGUAAUACGUAGGGGGCAAGCGUUAUCCGGAUUUACUGGGUGUAAAGGGAGCGUAGACGGAAUUGCAAGUCUGAUGUGAAAAUCCGGGGCCCAACCCCGGAACUGCAUUGGAAACUGUAUUUCUAGAGUGUCGGAGAGGCAAGUGGAAUUCCUGGUGUAGCGGUGAAAUGCGUAGAUAUCAGGAGGAACACCAGUGGCGAAGGCGGCUUGCUGGACGAUGACUGACGUUGAGGCUCGAAAGCGUGGGGGAGCAAACAGGAUUAGAUACCCUGGUAGUCCACGCCGUAAACGAUGACUACUAGGUGU
Molecule: ribosomal RNA, 695 nt
Filed under: uncultured bacterium
Lineage: Bacteria
Description: bacterial SSU rRNA
Rfam family: Bacterial small subunit ribosomal RNA
Source: RNAcentral